GACGAACGCUGGCGGCGUGCUUAACACAUGCAAGUCGAACGGAAAGGCCCUGCUUUUGUGGGGUGCUCGAGUGGCGAACGGGUGAGUAACACGUGAGUAACCUGCCCUUGACUUUGGGAAAACUUCAGGAAACUGGGGCUAAUACCGGAUAGGAGCUCCUGCUGCAUGGUGGGGGUUGGAAAGUUUCGGCGGUUGGGGAUGGACUCGCGGCUUAUCAGCUUGUUGGUGGGGUAGUGGCUUACCAAGGCUUUGACGGGUAGCCGGCCUGAGAGGGUGACCGGCCACAUUGGGACUGAGAUACGGCCCAGACUCCUACGGGAGGCAGCAGUGGGGAAUAUUGCACAAUGGGCGGAAGCCUGAUGCAGCAACGCCGCGUGCGGGAUGACGGCCUUCGGGUUGUAAACCGCUUUCGCCUGUGACGAAGCGUGAGUGACGGUAAUGGGUAAAGAAGCACCAGCUAACUACGUG
Molecule: ribosomal RNA, 468 nt
Filed under: uncultured bacterium
Lineage: Bacteria
Description: partial 16S ribosomal RNA
Rfam family: Bacterial small subunit ribosomal RNA
Source: RNAcentral